AUUCAUUCCAAACUUUGUUAAAAAUGCUCCCCCAAAGUCGUAGCUCCAGGCUAAAUUCCACUUAUGCUGAGAUGUUGAGCACUGAACUCCUGACAUCAUCAAAUGGGAUUCAUCUGUGUCAGAAAGGUAGGGAGAUGGAGCCUGGCUCACAUCACCACAUGGACUUGCUGCUCAUUCCUGUCUUUCUUCAUGAUGGAUACAAUCCUUCCUGUCCAAACCACAUGUCAGAAAUCCACCUCCCAAACCCUCCUGCCAUGCAAAAAAUUACCUGUUCCUGUUGUGUUAGCAUUUCUGGCUUUAUCUACAAGGGAGGGUACAGAGCUGGAACUUGUGGAUGGCUGAGCUCCUGGCCAAGUGCUUCAGAUUCAUAUCUUGGCUUUAUAGCUGGUAAAUGUCAUGACCGAGGCAAAAGGGAGACUGUUCUGUCUCUCUCUUGAAGUGGAGGGAACAUCAAAACCUUACAGGCAGGUGGAAGCCAAGGGACAGGAAGUAUGUGUGUGCUUUGUGUGGUGACAUGCAGCUGUAAUUUGCAAAGGCCAUGGUUGCACUGAAGGGGAGACUCUUCAGUCAUCCCCCGCUAAAGCAGACAGUGUGUCAGAGCCCUCCCCCUGCUGCCAACCUCCCACAUGUUGAUGAGGCAGGUGAAUCACUGUACCAUCACCCACUGGAUAGCCAAGGAUACCUCCCACACUAUCUGUGGACUUGUCUAUGCCAAACUGAUUGGCAGACCAGAGACCACCGCAGCCUCAGUAAUGGCUGUACAUGGUGCAGCACACCAGACCACACAGGAGCUGUACAAGUUCUCCAGAGAAGUGGUGGCAGCCUUGACUCUGUACUAAUGGGAGUAUGGUAUUCACAGGACCUGCUGGCACCACUGAAUCAAGAACUGCAGGGCACUCGGGAUGCACUGCAGCCCAGAAGUGAACUUGAUUAACCUUUAUCA
Molecule: long non-coding RNA, 943 nt
Organism: Gavialis gangeticus (Gharial)
Lineage: Eukaryota; Metazoa; Chordata; Crocodylia; Gavialidae
Exons: 3
Source: RefSeq, a predicted model, not a curated record